Non-coding RNA from Paramuricea clavata, 202 nucleotides. The record is from the annotation of a GenBank genome assembly. Lineage: Eukaryota; Metazoa; Cnidaria; Anthozoa; Malacalcyonacea; Plexauridae.
CAUUUUUAAGGGGCCUAUAUUAUUGUACCCCGGGCCGGAGCCAUAGAUAUCUUAUAUACACUGGAUAGUGUAUCUAAUUAUUCUACAAUUUAAAAAUUGAAGCCGUGAUUGCAGACACAGGAUAUUCCCAUGAAAUGAGAAGAUUCGUAUGUUUUCUAUUUCUUAAACACGGAACUUAAAUAUUACGGUAAACCUAUUCCAA